RNAcentral lists this ribosomal RNA (394 nucleotides) under Euglypha sp. (in: cercozoans). Its description in RNAcentral is "Euglypha sp. partial small subunit ribosomal RNA". It matches the Rfam family "Eukaryotic small subunit ribosomal RNA", at positions 587 to 975 of the family's 1831-position model. Lineage: Eukaryota; Cercozoa; Imbricatea; Euglyphida; Euglyphidae. The record is from RNAcentral.
AGCUCCAGUAGCGUAUAUUAAAGUUGUUGCAGUUAAAAAGCUCGUAGUUGGAUUUCUGACGAACCGGAGUGGCCCGUUCUCUUUGCGGGAAUGAGUGCCGCUUUGAGUUUGUCAUCCUUCCAGAGAGCUGCGUCUACCGUUUACUCGGCCGGAUGUAUGCGAUCUGGAUCUAUUACUUUGAAAAAAUUAGAGUGUUUAAAGCAGGCUUAUGCUAUGAAUACAUUAGCAUGGAAUAAUAAUUUAGGACUUUGGUUCUAUUUUGUUGGUUUCUAGGACUGAAGUAAUGAUUGAUAGGGAUAGUUGGGGGUGCUAGUAUUCCGCGGCCAGAGGUGAAAUUCUUGGAUUCGUGGAAGACUAACUACUGCGAAAGCAUUCACCAAGGAUGUCUUCUUUA